This 425-nucleotide ribosomal RNA is filed under the name Janusya angusta. RNAcentral describes it as "partial large subunit ribosomal RNA". Lineage: Eukaryota; Metazoa; Porifera; Calcarea; Clathrinida; Clathrinidae. The record is from RNAcentral.
UAAAAGCACGUGAAACCGUUGAAAGGGAAACGCGCUCGGCUAGCAAUGUGCCUCGGUGGUUCAGCCAGCUUGUCGGUGGAGGUCGCGUGUCCGUCGGAUCCGAAUGGACUGCGGGCGUGGUGGUCUGCCGUCGAGUUGCGGUGCACUCUGUCGGGGUACGCGUCAGCGUCGGUUUGCGCCGGGUGACAAGGCCGGUUGGAAGGUAGCUCUGAGCUUGCUCCGAGUGUUAUAGCCAGCUGUGCUGAGCCUGACGUAGACCGAGGAGAGAGAGGAUCGUUGCAGCGCAUGCCGCAAGGCUAGCUGCCCGCCGUUCGGUUUGCUUCACGGGCUGAGGACUGCACGCAGUGUUCGGCUUGGCGGGGUGGCCGGGCGGUGGAGCGGUAUAAUUGCGCUUAGGACGCUGGCGUCCAAAUGGCCGUGCGUGA